ACAAGCGGUGGAGCAUGUGGUUAAUUCGAAGCAACGCGAAGAACCUUACCAGGCCUUGACAUGCAGAGACUUUCCAGAGAUGGAUUGGUGCCUUCGGGAACUCUGACACAGGUGCUGCAUGGCUGUCGUCAGCUCGUGUCAUGAGAUGUUGGGUUAAGUCCCGUAACGAGCGCAACCCUUGUCCUUAGUUACCGGCACGUUAUGGUGGGCACUCUAAGGAGACUGCCGGUGACAAACCGGAGGAAGGUGGGGAUGACGUCAAGUCAUCAUGGCCCUUACGGCCUGGGCUACACACGUGCUACAAUGGUCGGUACAAAGGGUUGCCAAGCCGCGAGGUGGAGCUAAUCCCAUAAAACCGAUCGUAGUCCGGAUCGCAGUCUGCAACUCGACUGCGUGAAGUCGGAAUCGCUAGUAAUCGUGAAUCAGAAUGUCACGGUGAAUACGUUCCCGGGCCUU
This 456-nucleotide ribosomal RNA is filed under the name uncultured Pseudomonas sp. RNAcentral's name for it is "bacterial SSU rRNA". It matches the Rfam family "Bacterial small subunit ribosomal RNA", at positions 925 to 1382 of the family's 1533-position model. Lineage: Bacteria; Pseudomonadati; Pseudomonadota; Gammaproteobacteria; Pseudomonadales; Pseudomonadaceae. The record is from RNAcentral.